UACGUAGGUGGCAAGCGUUAUCCGGAAUUACUGGGCGUAAAGCGCACGCAGGCGGUCUUUUAAGUUUGACGUGAAAUCUCCCGGCUUAACCGGGAGCGGUCGUUGGAAACUACUUGGCUUGAGGCGAUGAGAGGGGUGUGGAAUUCCCGGUGUAGUGGUGGAAUGCGUAGAUAUCGGGAGGAACAUCAGUGGCGAAAGCGGCACCCUGGCAUUAGCCUGACGCUCAGGUGCGAAAGCGUGGGGAGCGAACGGG
RNAcentral lists this ribosomal RNA (253 nucleotides) under uncultured bacterium. RNAcentral's name for it is "partial 16S ribosomal RNA". It matches the Rfam family "Bacterial small subunit ribosomal RNA", at positions 524 to 776 of the family's 1533-position model. The record is from RNAcentral.